UGGGGAAUUUUGCACAAUGGAGGAAACUCUGAUGCAGCGACGCCGCGUGAGUGAUGAAGAUCUUCGGAUUGUAAAACUCUGUCCUUAGUGAAGAUAAUGACAGUAACUAAGAAGCAAGCCCUGGCUAAAUACGUGCCAGCAGCCGCGGUAAUACGUAUGGGGCAAGCGUUGUCCGGAAAUAUUGGGCGUAAAGGGUACGUAGGCGGUUUAAUAAGUCCUAAUUAAAAGGAUAUGGCUCAACCAUAGUAUGGUUAGGAAACUGUUGAACUUGAGUAGAUGAGGGGAAAGUGGAAUUCCAUGUGUAGCGGUGAAAUGCGUAGAUAUAUGGAGGAACACCAAUGGCGAAGGCAACUUUCUGGAAUCAAACUGACGCUGAGGUACGAAGGCGUGGGGAGCAAACAGG
Molecule: ribosomal RNA, 403 nt
Filed under: Fusobacteriota bacterium
Lineage: Bacteria; Fusobacteriati; Fusobacteriota
Description: Fusobacteria bacterium partial 16S ribosomal RNA
Rfam family: Bacterial small subunit ribosomal RNA
Source: RNAcentral